This 842-nucleotide long non-coding RNA is filed under the name Zostera marina. RNAcentral describes it as "long non-coding RNA (ZMAR_LNC002356)". Lineage: Eukaryota; Viridiplantae; Streptophyta; Magnoliopsida; Alismatales; Zosteraceae. The record is from RNAcentral.
AAUGGGAGCUUUGUCCGACGAACUUCGUCGACGGAGAUUACUUUCACUUCAAAGAAGAUGAGGUCAAUGCUACUUUCAGUUGUCCAGAGUGCAUUUUUCCUGUUAGUAAGUCCAUAUAUGAUUCUCAAUAUAUAUAUAAUUCUCAUCAAACAAAACUUAGUUUGAUAGAUUUUCGUAUAUAUUGCUUCAGAGCUUGAAAAGCGCCACACUGAUUCCGUGGUGGUUGUAACCGGAUUUUUACUAGCAUCCAUUCUUAUAAUCACCGGAUUGGUCUCUUGCUUCUUAUGUUAUCGGAAAAAAAAACGAAACGAAGAAGAAAAAGUGCGAUUUUUCGAGAUGUUUCAGAUCGAAGACAUGGAUGAUGAACUUGGUAUCAGCACAAUCACCAUGAAGUAAUUAUUAACCAAAACAAAUCCUUCUAAGUUCUAUGUUAUAUCUCAAAAAAUGUUGUGUUGCGAAAAUGUACAAUUUAACUAUGCUCGGAUAAUCUAGUGUUAACAUUCUAUGAAAGGUGAAACUUCUUUUUAAUUUACUGUCAAAAAAUCACCUGAGAUAUCCAAAGCUCCAAACCCUAAGAAGAAAUACCAAAUUAAAAAUGAAGCGAUCGAUCAUUAUAAGAAAAAAGACUCAAGGUUGCUAAAUCCAUCGCUAACCCAAUAGACGACAUUUGAAAAAGCCAUCGUCGAUUCUUAAAGUCGGCGACGUUUUAUGAGAGAGCCGUCGCUAGCCCAAUAGAAAAAACCAUAAUCAGGAAGGGCAGAAGAAUUUUCGUCAUUUUUUAGGAUGAUUAGUUUAACCGCUGACAAUAAAAAAACAGUUGGGUUUGGGUAUGGUUGUUGAUG